This 84-nucleotide microRNA precursor is filed under the name Ovis aries (sheep). Its description in RNAcentral is "miRNA (ENSOARG00000023422.1)". Lineage: Eukaryota; Metazoa; Chordata; Mammalia; Artiodactyla; Bovidae. The record is from RNAcentral.
UAUUGAAUUGGCCAAAAAGUUUGUACAAGUUUUUCCCAUAACAUCUUACAGAAAAACCCAAAUGAACUUUUUGGCCAACCUAAU